This 253-nucleotide ribosomal RNA is filed under the name uncultured bacterium. RNAcentral's name for it is "partial 16S ribosomal RNA". It matches the Rfam family "Bacterial small subunit ribosomal RNA", at positions 524 to 776 of the family's 1533-position model. The record is from RNAcentral.
UACAUAGGGUGCAAGCGUUGUCCGGAAUUAUUGGGCGUAAAGAGCUCGUAGGUGGUUAGUUACGUCGGGUGUGAAAAUCUGGGGCUCAACCCCAGACCUGCACUCGAUACGGGCUAGCUAGAGUUUGGUAGGGGAGACUGGAAUUCCUGGUGUAGCGGUGGAAUGCGCAGAUAUCAGGAGGAACACCAAUGGCGAAGGCAGGUCUCUGGGCCAAUACUGACACUGAGGAGCGAAAGCGUGGGGAGCGAACAGG